Molecule: long non-coding RNA, 8104 nt
Filed under: Homo sapiens (human)
Lineage: Eukaryota; Metazoa; Chordata; Mammalia; Primates; Hominidae
Description: HSALNT0039204
Source: RNAcentral
GCAUGAAGUUAGUCAGCAUUAUUUAUUGAGUUUCCACAGUACGUGCAGACACUUGAAGUGACGUAUGAGGAUUAAUCACAGCAGGCUUCUUUGAAGGAGAUACUGAAUAAAUUAUUAUUUAAUUAAAGCUCAAAUCAAGGCUGAUAAUAAAACAAAUGUCCGAGCAGUGGGACACUCCCUCCCUGAACCAACUGGAAUAUAAUUACACUCGACCAUGGACAAAUCACUUUAUUGGAAGUCAGUUCCUGUAGAAGUGACUAGCCCCAACUAAUGGCUAUUGUAAAUCAAGGGAUGGUGAUUGCUAAUCAGAUGAGGCCUCCCCAUGGUAGGAAGUUAAAGUGGUAUGAAAACAAUUUCCAACACUGGCCCAAGUAAAAACAGAUUGCCUUCUUUGUGAAAAGCCUCAUGAAUAAAGCCUUGGGUAAUGCCACUUAGAGUUUCUUCAACAUGAAGACAUUGACUUUUGCAUGAAUAGGUGAAAACUGCAGCAAUGAUUUCAGAGGGAUAGGGGAUUGAACUUGACAUCACACAAAUAUAGACUAGAAUCCAGGCUUUACUAUUUAUUUGCAGUGUGAUCUUGAGUGAUUACUUAAGUUUUCCAACUCUUAGUUUCCACAAUUGUAAAGGAAAUAUAAUAAUGUAUAUCAACAUGACUUCAUGAGAUUGGAAAUGGAAUAUAUAUAACACUUAUGAUAUGUUAGGCUCUGAAUACAUGAUGGUCUUGCUUACUCUCACUACUAUAAAUGACAGUAUUUACUGCUGAAAGUAGUCUUAAUAGUCUAAAAUUGCAACAAAUUCCUAUCAUAUUAAAACUCUGAGAUUUGGAAGGCUAUUUGGACCAACUCCUAGAGUUAGUUUAACUAGGAUACUUUAAUGAAACCCGUAUUACUUUUGUUAUGUUGUUCCAUUACUAUUAUGUAUUAAGUAAAUUUGUUAGAAUAAUUGGAUACAUACCCUCAAACAAAAAAAAAUACUGAUUUGAUGUCUAAACACAACCACUUCAAUAUUGUGACUUUCUAAAUUAUAUGCCAUAAUUAUGUUCAUUAUCAUAUGUAAACAUCACUUGUGUUACUAGCCUAAUAGUUUACUGAUUGCAUAUGCUGUAAUAUAUUUUUAUUCCUAGACACUUAGUUUAUUCAUAUUUUUGUACUAUUGCUAAUAAUAUCACAAAUGGUCAUGAGGUUAAAUAUUUACUUGUUGAGUAUAUAGUCUAUAUUUAAAAAUAUUUUAAAUAUAAGUAUAUUUUAUAUAUAAAAUAUAUUCGUUGAAUUCAUAUAUAUUUAUAUAAAUAAACAUAUGUUUUUAUAUAUGGAAAAGUACCAUAUUAGUAAACUACCCUUUUCUGGGGAUGUGUUAGCUGCAAACACUUAACUGUUGGUACAAGUGAAAAUACUGAGGAUGGGAUCUCUUCUCUCCUUCGGAAUGAUUUCCUUGCUACUUAUGUCUUUCUGCACACCUUCUCCAUCUCCAUAUUAGAAGUUUACUCCCAUACUUCCUGAUUUUCUACCCCUUCACAUCUUUUCACAUAGUUUUACCUCCAAUACUAUGUCCAAUUUAAUCACUAUGGUUGACCCCAAAGAAAUUUUUCACCUUGAUUUGUCAAUCAUCAAUGUUUCAGCAAUGUUCUUGUUAAUUUUUCUAUAUUUAAUAACUGUGUCCAACAUUUUGUAUUUUAAAUGUUCUAUCUAGAUCCUUAAGUUCUUAUGUGUACCCUAAAUCUCUUUAGAUUUAAGGAGACAAAUAUUUGUUCUUACCUAUCCUGUCUCUGAAAGGACUUGGUAAUGUAGGAGAGCACAUAUAGUUCCCCAAAUAUGUUACAAUUUUUAAUUUUACAUCAGAAGGUGGGAUAGGCUUCACCCCUUUGUAUACUUUAGGACACUCUAAUCUUAGUUUGGGCACAAUGCACAAAGCAGUACAAGCACAAGCCACCUUUAAACUGAACCAAAGUUGUCUAGUGUUGGGUAGCCUGCUUGCCGGCUGCUCGUGGCUCUGCCUCUUUCCUAUGGUGCUCCAGCCUCUCCUGUACUGAAAUACAAUGAAAAAUAAUUUGCCAAACAGCACACUCAACAGAGUCUAGGAAAACUUCUUUGAGGUUUAUAAUAAUCUCUCAUUAACUAACCUGGCCAACUUAAGAUCAAUAAUAAUAAUCAGUCACAUGAGUAAAGAAUAAACAUGUUUUUCUUUAAAGUUCUAAAAAUAAAAUUAUUCUUAAACUGCUUUCCUCAGCCAUUACAUUUCUUUACCUUCUUCCCAAUAUGACCUAAAAUUAAAAGUCUAUUUUAAAGAGAGUUCUUCCGGAUACCUCUAUUCUUGGAAGAAGCUUUCUGCCACAGUAGAAACAAUAAUGUUGAUUCUUGGGCACAAGAGCGUUAUUAGACUAAGAACAUCUGCUGCAUUUUGUAAAAUGUCAGAAGAUUCUGAACUGAUCUUUUAUUGUACAGUUAUAUUAAGAAUGAUUAGGCCAACUUAUUGAAUCAUUAAAAUUUAGUCCAUUUUUCAACAAAAACAAAUAACUAAAUUUGCUUUUCUACUAUCAUUAUUAUACUCUAUUAGGGAAAAUAAAUGUGUUUAUUUAAAGGUAAAAUAAUUUUUGCUCAGGGAAGAUUUUCUGCAAUCAGAAAGUAACCAACCUUUAGCACUUAUAUAAUUUAGACACAUUAUCACAACAGUUUUAAUAUAAGAAAAAGGUUAUUUUGUAAGAAGUUACUUUAAAUAAGUUUAUACCACAAGGCAAUGAAUACAUUAUUGGCAUGAUCUUUUAAGAAAGCAGGGUAAAAGUGAGAUGUAUAGCAGCACAUGGAGAAAACAUAAUUUAGAAACAAUAGAUUCUAGAACAACGUAUUGAUCCUAGAUUUAGUUCACACUGUUAAGAGAAAGUUACACUCACUAAGGAAAGUCAUACAAUUUUCCUUUAUGAUUAUAUAAUUUAAUUUACACUGUGGAGAUUUUUAGAUAACUUUGUUUUACUCUAACCGAAGCUGUUGAGAACCAAAACUUAUCACUUCACAAAUUGCUCAAUAAAUAAAAUGAAAAAAAGGUGAUGAUAUUGAUAUAUAGAAAUAUAAUGUAAGGCAGAAAGGCUCUUUGUGACAUGGUCUGACUUUGUCUUUCUCACUCAAAUACUUAUUCCUUCCAUGGAUAUGAAGGGAUAUAGACUGUAUUUCUCUGUUCUCUCACUGCUGUAAAGAAAUAUAUGAGAUUUAUGAAGAAAGGCUAUUUAUAAAGAAAGGUAAUUCAUAAAGAAAGGAUAUUUAAUUGGCUCAAGAUUCUGCAGACUGUACAGAAGGCAUAGCAGCAUCUGCUUCUGAGGAGGCGUCAGGGAGCUUUUACGCAUGGUGGAAGGCAAAGAGGGAGCAGGCGUCUCACAUGGCAGGAAUACAAACAGAGAAUGGGGGAGGUGCCACACACUUUUAAGCAACCAGAUCUCAUGAGACCUCACUCACUAUAGAGUACCAAAAGGGGAUGGCACUAAACUAUUCAUGAAAACUCUGUCCCCAUGAUCCAAUCACCUUCUACCAGGCCCCACCUCCAAUACUGGGGAUUAGAAUUUGACAUGAGAUUUGGUGGGGGCACAGCUCAAACCAUAUGACAGAUUGUUUAAAAAGUUACCAGAAUAAUAAAAAUAGAGUAGACUAACAUCACAAUGAGCUGUAGGAGUGGAUAUAAACCAACCCAUUGAAUUACACUGAAGCACAUUAGUAGGAAAGUAAUUUUCUGCCUUGGUAUAAAAAAAAAAGACUAAAUACAAACAAAUAAAAAAUUUAUAUAUUGUAUAUACAUCUACUAUGUAAAUACAUGUUAUAUAUUUAUAAGCUUAAGUAGGGAAAUAGUAUGAAAUCCAAUAGAAUGCUGAAAAGCGGUUACAGAUUCAGACUUGAGGAAAGCUUGGAUAGAAGUAUAUGAUGCCCCUUCUUUCCACCUCUGCAGCAACAACAAACACAAUGUGAACAUAAAAAUUCUUGCUCACUAUUGGAAAGGAGGGAAAAGUGAUAUUGAGAUGUUCCUACCUUUGAGGAAAGACAGGACUGAUACUUUACUUCUGAAAAGACAGCUUGGUCUUUCAGGAAGUAACAAAAUCUUGAAUUCCAUGAGUCCUCUAAAGUUUGAAAUGGAGAGAGGAGGCUGAGUUAUCUGGAGAAAGUGUCACUUGGAUCCAGUGGACAGAGGGCUAUGAGUGGUGAGUAUGGAACUGAGAGAAUGUUCCCACAGUGGAAAUGUGCUGUCCCACAAAAUCAGUGCUCAGAGCGACGUUGAUAGCAAUGUAUACCAACAUUAAAAAAGAAAGAUUUCAAAUAAACAAUGCAAUCAUACACUUCAGGGAACUAGAAAAUCAAAAACAAACCAAAUCCAAAAUUAGCAGAAGAAAAAAUAAUACAGAUAAGAGCAGAACUAAACAAAAUAGAGACUAAAAAAUGAGAAUAAACAAAAUGAAGUUUGUUCUUUGAAAAGAUAAAAAAUUUGAUAAAUCAUUAACUAGACUAAUCAAGAAAAGAUGAGAAGAUCUAAAUAAAAGAGAAAUAAAAAAGAGUUUUUAAAUAAUACCACAGAAAUAGAAAAGAUCAUCAGAGACCAUUAUGAACAACUAUACACUAACAAACUGGAAUACCUAGAGGAAAUGGGUAAGUUCCUGGAAAUAUACAACCUAUCAAGAAGAUUGAAUCAAGAAGAAUUAGAAAACCUGAACAGACUAAUAAUGAGUAGUGAUAUUUAAUCAGUAAUUAAAAAAAAAACCUCACGACAAAGAAAAACCCAGGACUGAAUGGAUUCGCUACUGAAUUUUACCAAGUGUAUAAAGAAAUACUAAUCCUCCUCAAACCAUAUUUAAAAAAUUGAAGUGGAGAAACUUCUUCAAACUCAUUCUACAAGGUUAGCAUUACCUUGAUACCACAACCAGACAAGGACACGACAACAAAAGAAAACUACAGGCCAGUAUCCCUAAAGAAUAUAGAUGCAAAAGCCUUCAACAAAAUAUUAGCAAACAAAAUCCAACAUCACAUCAAAAAGAUAAUACACCCUAAUUAAGUGAGAUUUAUCUCAAGGAUGCAAGGACGCAAGGACAGUUUAAUGCACAUAAAUUCAUAAAUGCUAGGAAUCAUAACAAUAGAAUAAAGGGCAAAAAACAUAUUAUCAUUUCAAUAGAUUCAGAAAAAGCAUUUGACAAAAUUCGACAUCCCUGCAUAAUAAAAACUCUCAACAAACUAGGUGUAGAAGGACCAUACCUUGAAAUAACAAAGACUAUAAACAACAAACCCCACAGCUAAUGUCAUACUUAAUGAGAAAAUAUUGAAAGUCUUUCCUGUAAAAACUAGAGCAAGGCAAGGAUGCCCACUUUUACUCCUAUUCAACACCGUACCGGAAGUCCUAGCCAUAGCAAUCAGGCAAGAAAAUAAAUAAAAGGCAUAUAAAUUGUAAAAGAGAAAGUCAAAUUGUCCCUUUUUGCAGACAAUAUGAUUUAUAUCUAGCAAAACAAAAAGACUCCACCAGAAAACUCUUAGAACUGAUAAAUUAAGUAAAGUUUUAGGAUACAAAAUUAUCUUACAAAAAUCUGUAGCAUUUCUAUAUACCAAUGACAAACUAGCCAAAAAAAGAAAGAAAGAGGGCAAUCUCAUUUACAAUAACUACAAAAGAAAACCCUAAGAAUAAUUUUAACCAAGGAGAUGAAAGAUCUCUACAAGGAAAAUUACAAAACACUGUUGAAAGAAAUUGAAGAAGACACAAACCAAUAGAAAGACAUCCUGUGAUCACGGAUUAGAGGAAUUAAUGUUGUUGAAAUAACCAUACUGCCCAAGCAAUCUGCCGAUUCAUUGCAAUUCCUUUCAAACUACAAACAUCAUUCUUCAUAGAAGUAGAAAAAACAAUUCUAAAAUUCAUAAAACAAACAAAGAGCCCAAAUAGGCCAAAGUGAUACUAAGCAAAAGAACAAAGCUAGAGGCAUCGCAUUACCUGAGUUCAAAAUAGAUUACAAGCCAAUAGUAGCCAAAAUAGCAAGACACUGGUAGAAAAAUAGAUACACAGACCAAUGAAACAGAAUAAAGAACCCAGAAGUAAUGCCACAUACCUACAACCAACUGAUGUUUGACAAAGUCAGCAAAAAUAUACACUGGGAAAAGAACACCCUAUUGAAUAAAUGAUGCUGGGAUAAUUGGAGAGCCAUAUGCAAAAGAAUGCAAAUGGAGCCAUAUGUCUCACCAUAUAUAAAAAUUAAGGUAAAUUAAAGACUUAAAUGCAAGACCUGAAAGGUCUUCUAUAGGUCUACAAAAAUCCUAGAGGAAAUCCUAGGAAAAUUCUUCUGGACAUUGUUCUAGGCAAAUAAUUUAUAACUAAGUCCACAAAAAGAAACGCAAAAAAAAAAAAAAAAAAAAAAAAAAAAAAAAAAAAAACCCAGAAAGAGGCAAAUGGGACUUAGGUAAACUAAUAGAUGCCUGAACUGCAAAGGGAAUAAUGAACAGAGUAAACAGACAACCAACAGAAUGAAAGAAAAUUUUUGAAAACAAUUCAUCUGAAAAAGUUAUGAUUCAAAAUCUAAAGGAACUUAAACAACUCAACAGAAGAAAAGCAAAUAACUCUAUUGAAAAGUGAGCAAAGAAUAUAAAGAAACAUUUUUCAAAAGAAGACAUACAAGAAGACAGCAAAGAUAUGAAAAAAUGCUAAACAUCACCAAUCAUCACAGAAAUGCAAAUUAAAACUAUAAUGAGAUACCAUCUUAUAUAGAUUAGAAUGGCUAUCAUUAAAAAGUCAAAAACCAUCAGAUGUUGGUGAGGAUGUGGAAAAAGGAAAUGCUUAUUCACUGAUGGGAAUGUAUAUUAGUGCAAAUUCUACGGAAAACAGUAUGGAAAUGUCUCAAAAAACUAAAAAUAAAACUACCUUUUGAUCCAGCAAUUCCAUUACUGGGUAUCUACUCAAAAGAAAAUAAAUAAAUAUCAAAAAAUGUCACCUGUACUCAUGUUUAUUGCAGCAGUAUUCAGAGUAACAAAAAUCAUGAAAUCAACCUCUGUGUAUCAAUGGAUGAUUGAUUUAAACUGUGGUGUGCGUGUGUGUAUAUAUAUGUAUAUAUAUGUAUGUGUAUAUAUAUGUAUAUAUAUGUAUGUGUAUAUAUAUGUAUAUAUAUGUAUGUGUAUAUAUAUGUAUAUAUAUGUAUGUGUAUAUAUACACCAUAGAUUACUACUCAGCCAUAAAAAUGAAUGGAAUAAUGUUUUUGCAGCAAUAUUUGUGGAACUGAAGUCCAUUAUCUUCAGUAAAAUGACUCCGAAACAGAAAAUCAAAAACCACAUGUUCUCACUUAAAAGUGGGAGGUAAACAAUGGUACACAUGGACAUACAGAGUGGAAUAGACAUUGCAGACUCCAAAUGGGGGGAGGGUAGACAUUGCAGACUCCAAAUGGUGUGAGGGAUUAUAUACCAACUAUUAGGAAUGAUGUACAUUAUUUGAAUGAUGGGUACACUAAAAGCUCAGAUUUUACCACUGCACAAUAUAUACAUGAAACACAGCUACACUUGUACCUCUAAAUCCAUAAAAAUGAAAAAUUUAAUUUAAAAAAGUGAAUGUCAUUCCCUGACCCUGAAGGUGAAAAUAGCAAGAAAGCAGGUAAGCCUCAUGAGAUUUGGUGCCUAGCAGAGGUAAUGUAAUUUCCCCUUGUGAAUUCCCCAUGUCCCUGGCCCACUGUAUAUGUCUAGAGUGAAUCAACCGUCCAGCCAAUAUUCAACAGAAAAAUCUAAACAUAAAUGUGAAAAGUCAAGGACAAUUAUUUUUACUUUGUUUUAGAAUAAAUGCUAAAUCUUACAGCUGCCUCCUUUUAAAUAGAUAAGGACAGGAAGGAAAAAGAGUAAUACUAUUCCAAAGGAAAGCUUCUAUUAUGUUAUAGAAACAAAACAUAAUAAAGGCAGAAGUACAUAUUUUUUAACAGAUUCACUGUAGGGAAGAGAAGUAAACUUUAAACAGCAUCUGCUAUUAUCUCAGUCAAAUUUAUGGAGCAUAGAUUCUAUAAAAUGAAAUAAGAUAGGAUAACAGUGUGAGGUAAAAAGUUAAUUGAGAGGUAAGUGGAAAUUUACAACAAAGAAGCUAGAUAAUAUAAAGAAAGAAUGCUUUAAAACCAAAAUGCAUCCAC